RNAcentral lists this ribosomal RNA (424 nucleotides) under uncultured bacterium. RNAcentral describes it as "bacterial SSU rRNA". It matches the Rfam family "Bacterial small subunit ribosomal RNA", at positions 425 to 850 of the family's 1533-position model. The record is from RNAcentral.
GUAAACUUCUUUUAUAGAAGAAGAAACCCCAGUAUUCUUAUUGGGUUGACGGUACUCUAUGAAUAAGCACCGGCUAACUCCGUGCCAGCAGCCGCGGUAAUACGGAGGGUGCAAGCGUUAUCCGGAUUCACUGGGUUUAAAGGGAGCGUAGGUGGGUCGGUAAGUCAGUGGUGAAAUCCCCGAGCUUAACUUGGGAACUGCCAUUGAUACUAUCGAUCUUGAAUUCUGUGGAGAUAAGCGGAAUAUAUCAUGUAGCGGUGAAAUGCUUAUAUAUGAUAUAGAACACCGAUAGCGAAGGCAGCUUACUACGCAGACAUUGACACUGAGGCUCGAAAGCGUGGGGAUCAAACAGGAUUAGAUACCCUGGUAGUCCACGCCCUAAACUAUGGAUACUCGACAUCAGCGAUACACUGUUGGUGUCUGA